Molecule: small nucleolar RNA, 136 nt
Organism: Lolium rigidum
Lineage: Eukaryota; Viridiplantae; Streptophyta; Magnoliopsida; Poales; Poaceae
Product: small nucleolar RNA Z247
Exons: 1
Source: RefSeq, a predicted model, not a curated record
ACUGUUGAUGAUGAUGAACUCAAGAGAUACAUCCUCGAUGGUUUUGAUGAUCAAUAUACACCAUUAUUUCCAUCUAUUAAUUCAGUCCCUAGUACCACUUGUGCUGAUAUCUGAUCUCAUCUGCAUGCUUUUGAUG